GGGGAAUAUUGGGCAAUGGGCGCAAGCCUGACCCAGCGACGCCGCGUGGGUGAUGAAGGCCUUCGGGUUGUAAAGCCCUGUCAUGUGGAAAGAACAGUCCCGUGGUGAAUAUCCACGGGAUUUGACGGUACCACAGGAGGAAGCACCGGCUAACUCCGUGCCAGCAGCCGCGGUAAUACGGAGGGUGCAAGCGUUGUUCGGAAUUAUUGGGCGUAAAGGGCGCGUAGGCGGUUGUGAAAGUCAGAUGUGAAAUACUUCGGCUCAACUGAAGAACUGCAUCUGAAACUUCAUAACUCGAGUACAGGAGAGGGAAACGGAAUUCCCGGUGUAGAGGUGAAAUUCGUAGAUAUCGGGAGGAACACCAGUGGCGAAGGCGGUUUCCUGGCCUGAUACUGACGCUGAGGCGCGAAAGCGUGGGGAGCAAACA
Molecule: ribosomal RNA, 427 nt
Filed under: uncultured Syntrophorhabdus sp.
Lineage: Bacteria; Pseudomonadati; Thermodesulfobacteriota; Syntrophorhabdia; Syntrophorhabdales; Syntrophorhabdaceae
Description: bacterial SSU rRNA
Rfam family: Bacterial small subunit ribosomal RNA
Source: RNAcentral